AGAGAAGAAGAGACACAGAAAGAAGUACUUUCCCCCUGAUGUCCUUAUGGAGGGGGACUCUCCCCCCAAACAAUAACUGCCUCCCACCUGCCUUCCUCCAUGCCAGAAGUCAUCUCAAGCAAGGUAAUUCCAUCUAGUGAGACCAAGAAGGGCUGUCAGCUCACAAGCUGUGACAGAGGUCAAUGAAGAAGGGAGGAGAAGUGAGCAGCAGACUGAGAUACAAGCAAACAGACACAGACAGGGAGGUUGGAGCAGCUAAUAGUGUUAUAUCUCAUCCUUCAUGCCUUACUUACAUCUAUCCUGCUCAGUACUUCUCUAUAUCGUCCCAUAUGGUACUUAAGAGAGAAUGAGUUACAAACAGUGUGGAAUCUUCUAUCUCUAUGUGUAUUUUAUGAGUGGACGUCAUUACAGCCCACAGACAAGUGAGGAACAACUGAGAAUAGGAGAUGAAACCAACUUCAAAAACUGCCAGAUACAAGUCAUAUAACGGCCAGAUAUUGUCAUUCCUCAUGUACAAAGACAUGGCAGGCUAGUCUGAAAAGUCAUCUGAAAGUGUAGGUACACACUAAAUUCUCCAAUUCCUUAUUUACAGCAUAUCUUGGAUUUCCUCUGAUGAAGUCUGUUAGCGCCCAUGUGAAGCCAUCCGUCCUAGUUCUGGUUUACUGGUGAUGGACAUUGGUUUGGAGCAGCAACAGCCUCAUUUUCUAUUUUGUGUUAUCCGCGCCGCCUGGUGUUGUACAGGACUACUACAUGUGAGCAUAUAUCUCACCAAUCUGUC
This is a long non-coding RNA of Bufo gargarizans (Asiatic toad), 778 nucleotides long. RefSeq lists it as uncharacterized. Lineage: Eukaryota; Metazoa; Chordata; Amphibia; Anura; Bufonidae. The transcript is spliced from 3 exons. The record is from RefSeq and is a predicted model, not a curated record.